UUCGAGCGGCGGACGGGUGAGUAACGCGUGAGCAAUCUGUCUCUUACAGGGGGAUAACACUUGGAAACAGGUGCUAAUACCGCAUAAGACCACGGCAUCACAUGGUGCAGAGGUAAAAGGGGCAACUUGGUAAGAGGUGAGCUCGCGUCUGAUUAGCUAGUUGGUGAGGUAACGGCCCACCAAGGCGACGAUCAGUAGCCGACCUGAGAGGGUGAUCGGCCACAUUGGAACUGAGACACGGUCCAGACUCCUACGGGAGGCAGCAGUGGGGAAUAUUGGGCAAUGGGCGCAAGCCUGACCCAGCAACGCCGCGUGAGGGAAGAAGUUAUUCGUAAUGUAAAGCUCUAUCAAUAGGGAAUAAGAUGAAGGUACCUAAAUAAGAAGCCCCGGCUAACUACGUGCCAGCAGCCGCGGUAAUACGUAGGGGGCAAGCGUUAUCCGGAUUUACUGGGUGUAAAGGGAGCGUAGACGGAAUGGCAAGUUUGAAGUGAAAACCCAGGGCUCAACCCUGGAAUUGCUUUAAAAACUGUUAAUCUAGAGUAUUGGAGAGGUAAGCGGAAUUUCUAGUGUAGUAGUGAAAUGCGUAGAUAUUAGGAGGAACACCGGAGGCGAAGGCGGCUUACUGGACAAAGACUGACGUUGAGGCUCGAAAGCGUGGGGAGCAAACAGGAUUAGAUACCCUGGUAGUCCACGCUGUAAACGAUGAAUACUAGGUGUUUGGUUAGAGAAAUCUGAUCAGUGCCGUCGCAAACGCAAUAAGUAUUCCACCUGAGGAGUACGUUCGCAAGAAUGAAACUCAAAGGAAUUGACGGGGACCCGCACAAGCGGUGGAGCAUGUGGUUUAAUUCGAAGCAACGCGAAGAACCUUACCUGGUCUUGACAUCUACUUGAAUAUUUAUGUAAUGUAAGUAGUCUUCGGACAAGUAAGACAGGUGGUGCAUGGUUGUCGUCAGCUCGUGUCGUGAGAUGUUAGGUUAAGUCCUGCAACGAGCGCAACCCUUAUUAGUAGUAGCCAAUAUUUAGUUAGGCACUCUACUGAGACUGCCGAGGUUAACUCGGAGGAAGGUGGGGAUGACGUCAAAUCAUCAUGCCCAUUAUGACCAGGGCUACACACGUGCUACAAUGGCGGUAUACAAAGAGAAGCGAAAGAGUGAUCUGGAGCGAAUCUCCAAAAAGCCGUCUCAGUUCGGAUUGUAGUCUGCAACUCGACUACAUGAAGCUGGAAUCGCUAGUAAUCGCGAAUCAGAAUGUCGCGGUGAAUACGUUCCCGGGUCUUGCACACACCGCCCGUCA
This 1293-nucleotide ribosomal RNA is filed under the name uncultured bacterium. Its description in RNAcentral is "bacterial SSU rRNA". It matches the Rfam family "Bacterial small subunit ribosomal RNA", at positions 90 to 1399 of the family's 1533-position model. The record is from RNAcentral.